This 289-nucleotide unclassified non-coding RNA is filed under the name Ascomycota sp. RNAcentral's name for it is "partial contains 5.8S ribosomal RNA, internal transcribed spacer 2, and large subunit ribosomal RNA". The stretch from base 1 to 71 matches the Rfam family "5.8S ribosomal RNA", at positions 84 to 154 of the family's 154-position model. The record is from RNAcentral. Lineage: Eukaryota; Fungi; Ascomycota.
GUGAGUCAUCGAAUCUUUGAACGCAUAUUGCACCCUCUGGUAUUCUGGAGGGUACACUUGUCCGAGCGCCAUUUUAACCCUUCAAGCAUUGCUUGGUGUUGGGCUAGGUCUUUUGGGGACCAGCCCGUAACUUGUAGGUGGUUACCACCCAUAAUCCCCCUAGCGUAGCAAGCUCACGCACUCGUUUCGGGGAUAGGGAGCGUAGCCCGACAAACCCCCUAAAAAAAAGUUUUGGCCUCGGAUCAAGUGGGGAUACCCGCUGAACUUAAGCAUAUCAAUAAGCGGAGGA